This 1067-nucleotide long non-coding RNA is filed under the name Vulpes vulpes (red fox). RNAcentral describes it as "lncRNA (ENSVVUG00000013999.1)". The record is from RNAcentral. Lineage: Eukaryota; Metazoa; Chordata; Mammalia; Carnivora; Canidae.
UCGCGCCCGGACUUGAGCGCGUGUUGCCGGGCUGGGUCUGUGGUUGUGGAGGGGCGUGUGCGUGUGCGUGUGUGUUUCCUGCGGGGUCGGGGUGGGGUGGAGGCGGGGAGGCCCUCGCUCCUGGGCAUUUCCGCGGUUGCCCGCGGGCCUUCGCUGGGCUGCGAGGAGCGGCGCAGGUCGGACCGGGGCGCGGGCGGCCCCCGGCCCCUCGGAGGGGGAGCGGCGCGGAGGGGCGGGGCGGGGCGCGUGUGUAAAUGUUGCGCACUCGCUUUUCCCCCCACCCCCGCCGCCUUCCAGGGUGCUGGCGUGGGUCCCUCGCCGUCCGUCGGCGACUGUAAAUAGAGCCUGGAUGUUGUUUACAUGAAGGAUCCGGCGGGAGGAGUCUGCGAGGAGGAGGCGGAGGAGGAGGGAGGGAAGACAGAGGAAGAGCGGAGUCCCCGCGGCGGCUGCGUCCGGGGCGAGGGGGAGCCCCGCGCGGCGUCCGGGGACCCGGCGCUACCACGAGGCCGGGACGCUGGACCCUGGGAAGGGGGAAGGGACUUGGCGGAGAUCGCCUGCUCCCGGCCGCAGCUGAACCCACGGCUUCUCCCUGCCUUCCCGGGCCAAGGAAUCUUUUUCCCUCGCUCAGCUCCCCUCACGCCAGCUGCCACCUUCUUGGAGAAGGACCACACCUGUGCUUAUUCUCGCUCUGGAGGAGAGAACCAGCUGUCAAAUUCACUGGAUGGUAAUGAAGCAACUGAAGAAUCAGCUCAGGGAGAAGGUGAGGGGUGCAGCUGAGACCACCUCACUCCAUCCCACACCCCAGAGCUCCAAGACACCUCAGCUGGAGAGAGCUACAGAGCCUCAUGCUGAAUAUGAGUGUUAAGUUACCAAACCAAAGGCUUAGCUGCCCAGAUGAGGAGGCCGAGGGAAGAUGUUCUUACUAAAGAGGAAAGGGGAGGUUAUACUGAGCACAAAAGUAGAAGUCAUUGGAAAUGAUUUCACGUUUUAUUCUUCAACGGAAUUGCAGUUCACAAGUUCACAUGAUUUAUUAAAAGAAUAAAAGGACUAUGAAAUCACCUUUGACA